UUAAAUAAGAGCUCUGAUAAAUUCGGAGGCGACACGAACUGUACAGCCGCAUGAAAAAAAAAAUGGAGGUCUGCAAAUUAGUAGCCAAAGCAGCAGAGGAGUGUCUUCACCUUUUUGACGCACCCGAAUGGAGCACGUAUUCCAAGAACCGGUUCAGGUAAAUUGCUAUUCCCCCCUUGAUGAAUUGAAUGGAACUAGAUACAGGUAUGAUUCUGAGCUUGCUAAUUGUUAGUCUGAAUAUCAUCUUCAUAAACCAUAAAAAGUGCAUCUGUAUAGAAUGGCUAAGAAUCCCAAAAAUAGGGUGGAAAUGAGAAUGGAACUUGGGACCUACUGCACCCUAAGUGAGAUCAUACAACUAAACCAAAUGGCCAGCUGCUGAUGUUAUUUGCUUUAAUAAUGCUUAAUUUCAUUUCGAAUUGGGUGAACAAGACCUUAAAGCCUUAUUCUUAUCGUCUUUGGAUUCAAUGAAAUGUAUCUAUGCAUGUUACUGAUACUGAAUGCUUGAUUUAUGAUCAUUGAUGCUGCUAUCGUUUGUCUACCUGGUGCCAAUAUCUAAUGUUCUUUUUGUUUCUCUCUCUCUCUCUCUUUUCUUUUUUAAAUUUGAUUGCAUGGGAUCUUGUUAGGAAACUAAAGUCUUAUACAUACAUAUAUAUAUAUAUAUAUAUAUAUAUAUAUGUAUAUAUAUAUGAUUGACCUGGGCUUUGAUUCCUCUGCUCAAAAGCAAUUUAAAUUGUAAUCAGUGCUACUAAUUUACUCUGUAAAUUCAUUGGCAUAGAUAAAGAUCUAGUAGAUCUAAGCUAUUAAAAAAGCAUGAAAUAUUUGUUCUCCUAUUAGACUUAGGCUAGGAUUGACUUGCUCAAAAAAAUCUUGUUAAUUGAAAUGGCAAAAUGGGGGCAUUUCGAGAAUCGAACUCGAGACCUUUCGCACCCAAAGCGAGAAUCAUACCACUAGACCAAAUGCCCAUUCAUACUAAUUAUGUGGACUGUUGCUAUUGCUAGUUUGGAGCAUUAUUUCUGUGGUUAGAUGUGAAAUUCACAUGCAAAUUCAACAUUUGAAUCUUAGUAUUUGAAAGUUUGGAGCAUGAUUUGUUGCUUUUUGCUUAUUUUUAGGACAUCUUUCCUAC
This is a long non-coding RNA of Manihot esculenta (cassava), 1123 nucleotides long. RefSeq lists it as uncharacterized. The record is from RefSeq and is a predicted model, not a curated record. Lineage: Eukaryota; Viridiplantae; Streptophyta; Magnoliopsida; Malpighiales; Euphorbiaceae. The transcript has 2 exons.